GAUGAACGCUGGCGGCGUGCCUAAUACAUGCAAGUCGAGCGGACAGACGAGGAGCUUGCUCCUCUGACGUUAGCGGCGGACGGGUGAGUAACACGUGGAUAACCUACCUAUAAGACUGGGAUAACUUCGGGAAACCGGAGCUAAUACCGGAUAAUAUAUUGAACCGCAUGGUUCAAUAGUGAAAGACGGUUUUGCUGUCACUUAUAGAUGGAUCCGCGCCGCAUUAGCUAGUUGGUAAGGUAACGGCUUACCAAGGCAACGAUGCGUAGCCGACCUGAGAGGGUGAUCGGCCACACUGCAACUGAGACACGGUCCAGACUCCUACGGGAGGCAGCAGUAGGGAAUCUUCCGCAAUGGGCGAAAGCCUGACGGAGCAACGCCGCGUGAGUGAUGAAGGUCUUCGGAUCGUAAAACUCUGUUAUUAGGGAAGAACAAAUGUGUAAGUAACUAUGCACGUCUUGACGGUACCUAAUCAGAAAGCCACGGCUAACUACGUG
Molecule: ribosomal RNA, 497 nt
Filed under: uncultured bacterium
Lineage: Bacteria
Description: partial 16S ribosomal RNA
Rfam family: Bacterial small subunit ribosomal RNA
Source: RNAcentral